Molecule: ribosomal RNA, 418 nt
Filed under: Pagrus major (red seabream)
Lineage: Eukaryota; Metazoa; Chordata; Actinopteri; Spariformes; Sparidae
Description: partial 16S ribosomal RNA
Rfam family: Bacterial large subunit ribosomal RNA
Source: RNAcentral
GAUCUCCCCGUGCAGAAGCGUUUAUAAUACCAUAANACGAGAAGACCCUAUGGAGCUUUAGACGUCAGAGCAGCCCAUGUAAAGCACCCCUUAACAAAGGAAAAAACCAAAUGAANCCUGCCCUAAUGUCUUUGGUUGGGGCGACCGCGGGGAAAUACAAAACCCCCAUGUGGAGUAGGAAUACACAUUCCUAAACCCAAGAGCUCCCGCUCUAAUGAACAGAAAUUCUGACCAAUAAGAUCCGGCACACGCCGAUCAACGGACCGAGUUACCCUAGGGAUAACAGCGCAAUCCCCUUAAAGAGCCCUUAUCGACAAGGGGGUUUACGACCUCGAUGUUGGAUCAGGACAUCCUAAUGGUGCAGCCGCUAUUAAGGGUUCGUUUGUUCAACGAUUAAAGUCCUACGUGAUCUGAGUUC